This 245-nucleotide long non-coding RNA is filed under the name Manihot esculenta (cassava). RNAcentral describes it as "long non-coding RNA (MESC_LNC010002)". The record is from RNAcentral. Lineage: Eukaryota; Viridiplantae; Streptophyta; Magnoliopsida; Malpighiales; Euphorbiaceae.
AUUUCAUCUCUUUCAGAAUUUAUAUUAGCUUGUCCUUGGUACCAUCUUGAAAUGUUAUUUUAAAUCUCUUUAUGCUGCUCCAAAAGAAUGACUUCCCUAGACAGUCAAGGUUUUGUCUCCUAAUCCAACUAAAGGGUAGGAGACCUUGAUUAAAUUAUUUUUGUCUAAAUCUAACUUAUCAAAAACCUCAAGAUCAAGAAGGUGAUGCAGAGCUCAAGGUCAACUUAUGAUAAAAAAAAAAUCCA